Molecule: long non-coding RNA, 264 nt
Organism: Hippocampus comes (tiger tail seahorse)
Lineage: Eukaryota; Metazoa; Chordata; Actinopteri; Syngnathiformes; Syngnathidae
Exons: 3
Source: RefSeq, a predicted model, not a curated record
CUUAAAAGAGAGUCUUUCGCCACAAUAUGAACAGGCAAAAGGUUUCUCACCAGUGUGUGUUCUGGUGUGUCUUUUUAAGAUUCUCUUGUCAGAGAAUUUUCGGCCACAAACUGAACAGGCAAAAGGUUUCUCACCAGUGUGUAUUCUUCCGUGCUUUUUUAAGGUUCCCUUCUGAGAGAAUCUUUGGCCACAAACUAAGCAGGCAAAAGGCUUCUCACCAGUGUGGAUUCUCACAUGCAUUUUCAAAGCACUCUGACAAGUAAA